UACGAAGGGGGCUAGCGUUGUUCGGAAUUACUGGGCGUAAAGCGUAUGCAGGCGGAUCGUUAAGUCGGGGGUGAAAUCCCGAGGCUCAACCUCGGAACUGCCUUCGAUACUGGCGACCUUCGAGUCCGGGAGAGGUGGGUGGAAUUCCGAGUGUAGAGGUGAAAUUCGUAGAUAUUCGGAGGAACACCAGUGGCGAAGGCGGCCCACUGGCUCGACACUGACGCUGAGGCGCGAAAGCGUGGGGAGCAAACAGG
Molecule: ribosomal RNA, 254 nt
Filed under: uncultured bacterium
Lineage: Bacteria
Description: partial 16S ribosomal RNA
Rfam family: Bacterial small subunit ribosomal RNA
Source: RNAcentral